GACGAACGCUGGCGGCGUGCUUAACACAUGCAAGUCGAACGGAAAGGCCCUGCUUUUGUGGGGUGCUCGAGUGGCGAACGGGUGAGUAACACGUGAGUAACCUGCCCUUGACUUUGGGAUAACUUCAGGAAACUGGGGCUAAUACCGGAUAGGAGCUCCUGCUGCAUGGUGGGGGUUGGAAAGUUUCGGCGGUUGGGGAUGGACUCGCGGCUUAUCAGCUUGUUGGUGGGGUAGUGGCUUACCAAGGCUUUGACGGGUAGCCGGCCUGAGAGGGUGACCGGCCACGUUGGGACUGAGAUACGGCCCAGACUCCUACGGGAGGCAGCAGUGGGGAAUAUUGCACAAUGGGCGGAAGCCUGAUGCAGCAACGCCGCGUGCGGGAUGACGGCCUUCGGGUUGUAAACCGCUUUCGCCUGUGACGAAGCGUGAGUGACGGUAAUGGGUAAAGAAGCACCGGCUAACUACGUGCCAGCAGCCGCGGUGAUACGUAGGGUGCGAGCGUUGUCCGGAUUUAUUGGGCGUAAAGGGCUCGUAGGUGGUUGAUCGCGUCGGAAGUGUAAUCUUGGGGCUUAACCCUGAGCGUGCUUUCGAUACGGGUUGACUUGAGGAAGGUAGGGGAGAAUGGAAUUCCUGGUGGAGCGGUGGAAUGCGCAGAUAUCAGGAGGAACACCAGUGGCGAAGGCGGUUCUCUGGGCCUUUCCUGACGCUGAGGAUCGAAAGCGUGGGGAGCGAACAGGCUUAGAUACCCUGGUAGUCCACGCUGUAAACGGUGGGUACUAGGUGUGGGGUCCAUUCCACGGGUUCCGUGCCGUAGCUAACGCUUUAAGUACCCCGCCUGGGGAGUACGGCCGCAAGGCUAAAACUCAAAGGAAUUGACGGGGCCCCGCACAAGCGGCGGAGCAUGCGGAUUAAUUCGAUGCAACGCGUAGAACCUUACCUGGGUUUGACAUGGAUCGGGAGUGCUCAGAGAUGGGUGUGCCUCUUUUGGGGUCGGUUCACAGGUGGUGCAUGGCUGUCGUCAGCUCGUGUCGUGAGAUGUUGGGUUAAGUCCCGCAACGAGCGCAACCCUUGUUCACUGUUGCCAGCACGUUAUGGUGGGGACUCAGUGGAGACCGCCGGGGUCAACUCGGAGGAAGGUGGGGAUGACGUCAAGUCAUCAUGCCCCUUAUGUCCAGGGCUUCACGCAUGCUACAAUGGCUGGUACAGAGAGUGGCGAGCCUGUGAGGGUGAGCGAAUCUCGGAAAGUCGGUCUCAGUUCGGAUUGGGGUCUGCAACUCGACCUCAUGAAGUCGGAGUCGCUAGUAAUCGCAGAUCAGCAACGCUGCGGUGAAUACGUUCCCGGGGCU
This 1346-nucleotide ribosomal RNA is filed under the name uncultured bacterium. RNAcentral describes it as "partial 16S ribosomal RNA". It matches the Rfam family "Bacterial small subunit ribosomal RNA", at positions 28 to 1381 of the family's 1533-position model. The record is from RNAcentral.